Oncorhynchus tshawytscha (Chinook salmon) is the source of this 2373-nucleotide long non-coding RNA. The record is from Ensembl. Lineage: Eukaryota; Metazoa; Chordata; Actinopteri; Salmoniformes; Salmonidae.
CGGCCCUACUCUGAGAUGAAACGUGUGAGUUGUCGGCCCUACUCUGAGGUGAAACGUGUGAGUUGUCGGCACUAAUCAGAGCUGAAACUUUUGAGUUGUCAUUGGUCUCUUUACAUAUUGGUGCCUUUGCCAUCAUUAAUGCAAGCAUUUCUAUACUCACUCCAGCAAUGUGUGUAAUGUCUAGUGACGUACAUGUUCUUACGGUAUGUGGUAUACAGUGUCUAGUAGAGCCCAAAUGCCUUAUGACCUCCUUUCACUAUAGUCAACUAUAGCUGACAUGAUAGUUCUCUUGCCUUGGCACGUGCAGCAGACAUUGUCUCUUGGUAAAUAUGAUCUUAUAGCCCCUGUCAACUGUUGCCUUACACAAGUUAGUGAGUUGAGUUGUUGCCUUAUAUCUGGUUAUGGCUUUACACGCCUUGUGCAUUUUUGAUAUAUUCCAAUUUGUGCAUCAACAAGUUACAUCCAAAUCAAUAAAUCGAUGAGCAUUGUUUUUGUGGCCAAUUUUAAAGAUGGCUGAAUGCCUGUAGCUGAAGGCUAGUUGAAGGCCAGCAGCUGAAGGCUAGUUGAAGGCCAGCAGCUGAAGGCUAGUUGAAGGCCAGCAGCUGAAGGCUAGUUGAAGGCCAGCAGCUGAAGGCUAGUUGAAGGCCAGCAGCUGAAGGCUAGUUGAAGGCCAGCAGCUGAAGGCCAGCGGCUGAAGGCCAGCGGCUGAAGGCCAGCGGCUGAAGGCCAGCGGCUGAAGGCCAGCGGCUGAAGGCCAGCGGCUGAAUGCUAGUUGAAGGUCAGCAGCUGAAGGCUAGUUGAAGGCCAGCAGCUGAAGGCUAGUUGAAGGCCAGUAGUUCAAUGCUAGUUGAAGGCCAGCAGCUGAAGGCUAGUUGAAGGCCAGUAGCUGAAGGCUAGUUGAAGGCCAACUAAAAGCCACUGGUUUAUGUCUGUAUGCUGCUCACUGUUCUAAAGAGUUAAGCCAUGAAGAAAACACCUUCCGUUUGAUUUUUUUAUUGAGGUGGAAAGCUGACAAAAUAAAUUAUGGUGAAUGAUGUUGAAUGACAUCCUGGUAUGAUAUGAAGAUACUAAUUAUUAUUUUUGAGAAUAUGUAUAUAGUUUGUAUGUUUCUGUAAAUACUACAUCCUCAGUUCACUGUGGUAUCACCCUGUUAAUUUUGUACAUUUUAAAACGUGAAAAAUAUGUUGUACAUAUUACAGAUUUGUUUUAUUUAUUUAUAUAUAUAUACACAUGUAUAAAUAUCUUGAUUGGAUGUUUUAUUUUCCUAAGCUCUCGUGUCUACUGUGAAUGGUUACACAGUUGUUAAUAUUGUCCCAUCAUCAUAACCAACCAACCAAUGUUCAUUAUCUUGAUUCAUUAUCCAUUGAAUCAUUAUCUUGGUUGUGUGAAUGACACUGCUGGUUCUGAACAACAGUGUAAAGUUCAGAUCCAUAUAUAGACAUACAUCUAUGGUUCUGGUGAAGUUGAUGUUUGUUCUGUUAUAUGGUUAUGUUUUCAUUCACAGCUGAUUGAGGAUCAGUUGUGGUGUGUAAAGCACAAUGUUGUGUAUCACCCUAAGAUGUACGAGUCCACAGGACAGAGCACCAACAGAUUGCCUGUUACAUGCAAAUUGCUCUUCUUGUUGAGUCUUAAUCUUCCUGUUCAGAGAAUCCAAUCUCAAAGUGACCAUUGUAUAGUUUGUGUUGUGAUUAUUUUGUUUAAUAAAAGAUAAAUGAUGAUCAAGUUUUAUCUGUCACGUCUCUUUCGUCCCACUGCACAGAUACUGUCUUCCUUGUAUGGCUGUGUCAUCGUUAGAACAAAAAAACACACAACCUGUCCUUAACGUUCUGGCCACUGAACAUACUGUAUUACUCAUCCCGUUCCUGAUAACGGUGGGAAGCCAAUCUAAUACGGCUUUUUGAUGUAGGCUUUCAGUUUUACUGUUUGUUCGGGGCGAAGGCCUAAGCUACAACUUAUUUUUGUUCUCGGUCAGUUGUUGUUAAUGCUUCAUAAGGUUGUUUUUUGUGCUCAGUAUUGUAUUCAGUCUCUGACAUCAUCUCCUUCCUGUCAGUGUGUUUCACAAAGCCUUUUACCACCAGUGUAAGUCCAGCUUUUGUUAUCACGUGUCAAGGUGAAGAUGCAGCAAGGUAUCAAAUAAAUGGAGCCGGCACACUCAUAAACUCCACCACGCAUCUAUUCAUAAACAAGGUUUCAUCAGGACCUGAUGAAGAUCCUUGCAGGAACUAAACGUUGUGGUUAGAACGUUGGGCCCAGUAACCGAUAGGUUUCUGGAUCGAAUCCCCGAGCUAACGAGGUAAAAAUCUGUCGUUCUGCCCCUGAACAAACAACUGAACCUUAUUCCCCGGUUGGCUGUCAUUGUAAAUAAGAAUGUGU